UCUAAAUGGAGUCUCUCCCACACCAAGAGAAUCCUCAGAUGGGGCGUUUUGAUCUCUCUGUGCCUCCAGCAAAGUAGAGGGGCCAGAAUAAGUUUACAGGGCCAGUUUCUGUAAUAGGUUGAAAUGUGAAGGAGAAUGCGAAUUAGGAAGGAAAUGGGACACAAACUGUAACUAAAUAGAGAGUCUUUCUACAAUCUCCAAACCACCUAGCACAAAGGAGUCUUGAUCCAUGACAAGGGCUGCAAGGCACUACAGUAAUACAAAGGAGGUCAAAUUUAGGCUGCUAGGGUUAUGAGAGAAUUCUUUCAAAGCCACUGAAGUAAUACUCAAAGCACAGGCAGCAACUAUCUUAUGUUACCUGAACAAUAUACCCCAACAAAACCUGCUGGAAUUCUUCCAAGAAGCAAGGACACAUCCAAAGAAAGAAUCAAAG
Mauremys reevesii (Reeves's turtle) is the source of this 433-nucleotide long non-coding RNA. RefSeq lists it as uncharacterized. The record is from RefSeq and is a predicted model, not a curated record. The transcript is spliced from 5 exons. NCBI's taxonomy places the organism in Eukaryota, Metazoa, Chordata, Testudines, Geoemydidae.